Molecule: ribosomal RNA, 437 nt
Filed under: uncultured Oscillospiraceae bacterium
Lineage: Bacteria; Bacillati; Bacillota; Clostridia; Eubacteriales; Oscillospiraceae
Description: partial 16S ribosomal RNA
Rfam family: Bacterial small subunit ribosomal RNA
Source: RNAcentral
ACGGAAGGCAGCAGUGGGGAAUAUUGGGCAAUGGGCGAAAGCCUGACCCAGCAACGCCGCGUGAAGGAAGAAGGUUUUCGGAUUGUAAACUUCUUUUAUGAGGGACGAAGGAAGUGACGGUACCUCAUGAAUAAGCCACGGCUAACUACGUGCCAGCAGCCGCGGUAAUACGUAGGUGGCAAGCGUUAUCCGGAUUUACUGGGUGUAAAGGGCGCGGAGGCGGGGAUGCAAGUCAGGUGUGAAAUCUAUGGGCUUAACCCAUAAACUGCACUUGAAACUGUAUCUCUUGAGUGCUGGAGAGGUAGACGGAAUUCCGUGUGUAGCGGUGAAAUGCGCAGAUAUAAGGAAGAACACCAGUGGCGAAGGCGGUCUACUGGACAGUAACUGACGCUGAGGCGCGAAAGCGUGGGGAGCAAACAGGAUUAGAUACCCUGGUA